RNAcentral lists this ribosomal RNA (253 nucleotides) under uncultured bacterium. RNAcentral describes it as "partial 16S ribosomal RNA". It matches the Rfam family "Bacterial small subunit ribosomal RNA", at positions 524 to 776 of the family's 1533-position model. The record is from RNAcentral.
UACGGGGGGGGCAAGCGUUGUUCGGAAUUACUGGGCGUAAAGGGCUCGUAGGCGGCCAACUAAGUCAGACGUGAAAUCCCCAGGCUCAACCUGGGAACUGCGUCUGAUACUGGAUGGCUUGAAUCCGGGAGAGGGAUGCAGAAUUCCAGGUGUAGCGGUGAAAUGCGUAGAUAUCUGGAGGAACACCGGUGGCGAAGGCGGUUCUCUGGGCAUGUCCUGACGCUGAGGAGCGAAAGUGUGGGGAGCGAACAGG